UGACCAUAUCUAUCCUUAAAACCUCUUCAAGUUACAACGUCAACUAAUUAAACCCUUCAAGUACUUCCAUAAGUUCUCAUUACUAUUAACACAAUCAUUACAAUUAAUCAAGCAUCUCCCUCCUUUUGUGUCCCGAGAGCAAAGAACAUGGCUAAGUUGUGUCUUCAUUCUCUGCUGUUUGCUUGAUCCUCGUAAGUUCACACAUUAACAUAUCAUCCACCGGAACAAGUUAUAAUUAAUGUGCUAACUUGGACUCCACACAAGCCUUCCUUGAUGCUUGGACUGCUGCAUGUGGCUCUACCAAUUCAAACAAUGAUUUGCAUACCUAAAGUAAGGUAUUUGCUUGGCUCAGUUUCCUUUGAAGGUCAUAACUACGUACACAAGUGCUGAUAUUACUUUAAGGAUUGAUGGCACCAGAUUGCUCAUGAGGAUUAUCGCAUACUUGGUCAAGCCAAUGAUUGGCUUAGCUUUGAACGUGCUAAUUAGUGGUGUCUCAAUUGUUGGCGGCGCUCUUGAUGCUAAAGGAUCAUCCUUGUGGGGUUGCAAAGCCAAAGGCAACAAGCUGGAGCUACGGUUAAUCUCAAGCUGGGUUUGAUAACUAUGGUGAUAGUUGCUGCUGAUACUCCAAAUAUAGAUGGAAUCCAUGUCCAAAAAUCUACAUGUUUUGUGAUUGUGAAUUCUUCGACUAAGACGGUGGAUGAUUGUAUCCGAACUUGUGGAUUGAAAGGGUUAUAUGUGGCGUUAGACAUGGUAUUAUUAGGUGGGAAAUAAUGUAAUUAGACCCUGCAAUCCAUUCGAUUAAUUUUCUUAUAUACAUAUUAUA
Populus nigra (black poplar) is the source of this 823-nucleotide long non-coding RNA. RefSeq lists it as uncharacterized. The record is from RefSeq and is a predicted model, not a curated record. Lineage: Eukaryota; Viridiplantae; Streptophyta; Magnoliopsida; Malpighiales; Salicaceae. The transcript is spliced from 2 exons.